CGAGACCUCAGGUCAGACGGUACCCGCUGAGUUAAGCAUUUAUAAGCGGGGAAAAAGAAACUAACAAGGUUCUUACGAGCC
This 81-nucleotide ribosomal RNA is filed under the name Deguelia densiflora. RNAcentral's name for it is "partial 28S ribosomal RNA". The record is from RNAcentral. Lineage: Eukaryota; Viridiplantae; Streptophyta; Magnoliopsida; Fabales; Fabaceae.